This 47-nucleotide unclassified non-coding RNA is filed under the name Enterococcus faecalis. RNAcentral's name for it is "SAM-III riboswitch from Enterococcus faecalis (PDB 6C27, chain B)". The record is from RNAcentral. Lineage: Bacteria; Bacillati; Bacillota; Bacilli; Lactobacillales; Enterococcaceae.
GGGACAAGUUCCCGAAAGGAUGGCGGAAACGCCAGAUGCCUUGUCCC